GGUAUAGCUAGCUCAGUGGUCGAGUCCUUGCCUAGCAUGUAUGAGGCCUUGGGUUCAAUACCCAGUACUG
RNAcentral lists this transfer RNA (70 nucleotides) under Marmota monax (woodchuck). Its description in RNAcentral is "tRNA.Ala". Lineage: Eukaryota; Metazoa; Chordata; Mammalia; Rodentia; Sciuridae. The record is from RNAcentral.